GGAAGUAAAAGUUGUAACAAGGUUUCCGUAGGUGAACCUGCGGAAGGAUCAUUAUUGUAUAACCGAGGUGCGAGGGCUGUCGCUGACCCGAAAGGUCGUGCACGCCCGAGUGCCCUCACACACAUCCAUCUCACCCCUAUGUGCACCACCGCGUGGGUCCCCCUUUGGCUUGUUCGGAGGGGGGCUUACGUUUUCACACAAACUUUGUAUGCAGUGUAGAAUGUAUUUUUUGUUUUUGCGAUCGCGCAAUCAAUACAACUUUCAACAACGGAUCUCUUGGCUCUC
This 285-nucleotide unclassified non-coding RNA is filed under the name plant metagenome. Its description in RNAcentral is "partial contains small subunit ribosomal RNA, internal transcribed spacer 1, and 5.8S ribosomal RNA". The stretch from base 1 to 54 matches the Rfam family "Eukaryotic small subunit ribosomal RNA", at positions 1778 to 1831 of the family's 1831-position model. The record is from RNAcentral.